This 465-nucleotide ribosomal RNA is filed under the name Vreelandella stevensii. RNAcentral's name for it is "partial 16S ribosomal RNA". It matches the Rfam family "Bacterial small subunit ribosomal RNA", at positions 338 to 795 of the family's 1533-position model. The record is from RNAcentral. Lineage: Bacteria; Pseudomonadati; Pseudomonadota; Gammaproteobacteria; Oceanospirillales; Halomonadaceae.
CCUACGGGUGGCUGCAGUGGGGAAUAUUGGACAAUGGGGGCAACCCUGAUCCAGCCAUGCCGCGUGUGUGAAGAAGGCCCUCGGGUUGUAAAGCACUUUCAGUGAGGAAGAACGCCUGGUGGUUAAUACCCAUCAGGAAAGACAUCACUCACAGAAGAAGCACCGGCUAACUCCGUGCCAGCAGCCGCGGUAAUACGGAGGGUGCGAGCGUUAAUCGUAAUUACUGGGCGUAAAGCGCGCGUAGGUGGCUUGAUAAGCCGGUUGUGAAAGCCCCGGGCUCAACCUGGGAACGGCAUCCGGAACUGUCAAGCUAGAGUGCAGGAGAGGAAGGUAGAAUUCCCGGUGUAGCGGUGAAAUGCGUAGAGAUCGGGAGGAAUACCAGUGGCGAGGGCGGCCUUCUGGACUGACACUGACACUGAGGUGCGAAAGCGUGGGUAGCAAACAGGAUUAGAUACCCUGGUAGUC